GAGUUUGAUCAUGGCUCAGAUUGAACGCUGGCGGCAUGCCUUACACAUGCAAGUCGAACGGCAGCAUGAUCUAGCUUGCUAGAUUGAUGGCGAGUGGCGAACGGGUGAGUAAUACAUCGGAACGUGCCCUGUAGUGGGGGAUAACUAGUCGAAAGAUUAGCUAAUACCGCAUACGACCUGAGGGUGAAAGUGGGGACCGCAAGGCCUCAUGCUAUAGGAGCGGCCGAUGUCUGAUUAGCUAGUUGGUGGGGUAAAGGCCCACCAAGGCGACGAUCAGUAGCUGGUCUGAGAGGACGAUCAGCCACACUGGGACUGAGACACGGCCCAGACUCCUACGGGAGGCAGCAGUGGGGAAUUUUGGACAAUGGGCGAAAGCCUGAUCCAGCAAUGCCGCGUGUGUGAAGAAGGCCUCGG
Molecule: ribosomal RNA, 414 nt
Filed under: uncultured microorganism
Description: bacterial SSU rRNA
Rfam family: Bacterial small subunit ribosomal RNA
Source: RNAcentral